UUAGAAUGUUGCCCUUUUAAACUCAUUGUGACAAGGAAUUUAUUGCUAAAGACUCCAAAUCAGUCAGUACAUAUGGUACUGAAUGUGUUGUAAUACCUAGGUCUUACCAGAACCCCGGGGUUGCACGGAACACCAUUUGGGAAACACUGCUCUGUGAAAAUAAAAGAUGCCGCCAAAGAAACUGUCAGGAACUCAGCACAGGAAGUGAAAAGCUCAGUUGCAAUCUAGUUUGCAGCAAGAGGCAAAUCUGAUGGGAAAAUAUUUGAAACAGAACAACAUAGACCAUGCUUUAGGCAGUAGCUAUUAUCCCAUGGCAGAAGAAAUUGAGGAGCGAAGCGUAAAUGAUGGAUGUCUAAUUGCUAAGGUAUUUACCUGAAAAUAAGGAAUGGAAAUUUGAAGAAAGUGAUGGAGAAUUGUCCAGUUUUCCUGGAGGUGUAAAGGACGUGGCUCACAUAAAAAGAAGAGUAAUGAAAAAAAAAUCUGGUUUCCAUGAAAAGGGGAGAAACCAUAAAAAAAAAUCAGCUUUGCAUGAUGGCAGAAACAUCAGUGAGAAAAAUUGCACACCUCAGAUCAAUAUAUCAGAUCCUGUUUUAUGGCCAGUGAGCCUAAACUCUGCCAGUAUUGAACACACAAUUUUGAACAAGCUAGGCAAAAAUCCAGGCUACGACAUUUCCACUAACUGAGCAGAAGAAAC
Pelodiscus sinensis (Chinese soft-shelled turtle) is the source of this 694-nucleotide non-coding RNA. The record is from RefSeq and is a predicted model, not a curated record. Lineage: Eukaryota; Metazoa; Chordata; Testudines; Trionychidae.